AAUGUGGCCAUUUUGACUUCUGCUGCAAUUGCAUCGUUGGCUACCACAAGAACAACCUAACCUUCAGCUGUCAUAAGAUCAGAUAACAUCGUUUGCUCUAUCAGUAUUAACAUUUCCCUUUGUUUUCUCUGUUAUGUUUUAUUAGUUAAGAGGUUGUUACUUUUUCUGUUUUGAUUUUUCUUCAGCCUAUAUAUUUUUACAAAAGACUCUUCAUUGUAUGACUGUUGAGUUUAUUUUGCAUAAUGAAAUUAACCAUUUUUCCUGUUAUGGUAUCAGAGAAAUACAACUCAAUACCUCUGUUUCUUCAUCAUGGCUCGCACACACACCGAAUCUUCUGUUGUAAUCCAAGAACCUCCCAUCCAAGCCAUUCUGAAACAAGAACCUUCCCCAACAAUGGCUCCUGAAGCUCCAUCUGCCCAGAACCUCACCAACAAUGGCGGCCAAACCUCAGCUUUCAAUUGAUUUUCUCCCCUAGAUAAUCUAGAUCGACCUACCCUUGAAGAUUCCAACAACAAUCCAUAUUUCUUGGGUACUGGAGAUCACCCAAGUCUCAUUCUUGCUUCACCUCCACUGACAGGCAAGAAUUUCCAGCAAUGGCGUCGGGAUUUCAACAUCUCAAUCAGAGCCAAAAACAAAUCUGCUUUUCUUAAUGGCACCCUUUCUCGACCCCUUCCAACUGAUCCUUUCUUUAGAUCAUGGCAAAGAUGCAACCAAAUGCUCAUGUCUUGGAUUAUCCAUUCGGUUUCCCCAGAUAUAAAGUGUAGCAUCAUGUUCUUAGACACUGCAGCUGAGAUGCGGGCAGAACUCAAUAAUCGAUUCGAUCAAGGAAACAGCCCUAGAAUUUUUGAGCUACGAGAGACCAUCAUUCGUCUUCAUCAGGGUGAUGAUUCUGUCAGCUCAUACUUCACAAAAUUGAAAGCAAUCUGAGACGAAAUCAAUGAAUUCGACCAAGAACCCCGUGCACCUGUGCCGCCUUUGCUGAUAAUCUUAUUUUUUCAUAAUCAAGAACGGGUUUUGCAAUUACUUAUUGGUCUUAAUGAAUCUUUUCAUGUUGUUAGGGCUCAAGUUCUCUUAAUUGAUCCUCUACCUUCUCUAUCCAAAGAUUUUUCAAUGAUCAUUCAAGAAGAGAGACAAAGAAAACUUGGACCUUCCCAUAACCCUAAUUUGAUUGCUGCAACCAAUACUUCUGCUCCACAUUUACAUAAUCCAAAUUCCAGAACAACGAAAUUACGCCCCACUUGCUCCCAUUGUCAAAAACUAGGACAUCUCAAGGAUAGGUGCUAUUUUCUUCAUGGUUUUCCUCCUGGUUAUGGUCAACAAAGGAAACCAGAACCAAACCACAAACCAUAUACUACCAGACCAACUGAACCAUCUCACAAAUCCUUUGUUCAUCAAGCCACUGCCUCACACACAAAUGUUGCUCCACCCCCAUCGAAUGAAUCAAUUCAGGGACUAAUCUCUCUUCUAAGUCAAUAGCUCCAACACACCACGGCCUCCUUGCCCCCAACUCAGCCCCUUGUCUCACAAUUUACUGGAAACACCACUGAACAAGAGGAUUGGGACUACUGAAUGAAUAGGUCACCUAUAUUUGUUGCAACAAGACCACAGAUUUCUUUCUUCUUGUUCAUUUGUACUUUCUAAGCAUCUUUUCAUAAUGUUCAUAAAUGGCAUACUAGACUUGGCCAUCCAUCUUUACUGAUUACAAAUUCUAUUAAUAAAAGUUUGCAUUUUUCUACUUCA
Long non-coding RNA from Humulus lupulus (European hop), 1740 nucleotides. RefSeq lists it as uncharacterized. The transcript is spliced from 2 exons. Lineage: Eukaryota; Viridiplantae; Streptophyta; Magnoliopsida; Rosales; Cannabaceae. The record is from RefSeq and is a predicted model, not a curated record.